RNAcentral lists this ribosomal RNA (490 nucleotides) under uncultured bacterium. Its description in RNAcentral is "partial 16S ribosomal RNA". It matches the Rfam family "Bacterial small subunit ribosomal RNA", at positions 30 to 507 of the family's 1533-position model. The record is from RNAcentral.
AUUGAACGCUGGCGGCAUGCUUUACACAUGCAAGUCGGACGGCAGCACAGAGAAGCUUGCUUCUUGGGUGGCGAGUGGCGAACGGGUGAGUAACAUAUCGGAACGUACCGAGCAGUGGGGGAUAACUAAUCGAAAGAUUAGCUAAUACCGCAUAUUUUCUGAGGAAGAAAGCAGGGGACCUUUGGGCCUUGCGCUGUUUGGGCGGCCGAUAUCUGAUUAGCUAGUUGGUGGGGUAAAGGCCUACCAAGGCGACGAUCAGUAGCGGGUCUGAGAGGAUGACCCGCCACACUGGGACUGAGACACGGCCCAGACUCCUACGGGAGGCAGCAGUGGGGAAUUUUGGACAAUGGGCGCAAGCCUGAUCCAGCCAUGCCGCGUGUCUGAAGAAGGCCUUCGGGUUGUAAAGGACUUUUGUCAGGGAAGAAAAGGGCGGGGUUAAUACCCCUGUCUGAUGACGGUACCUGAAGAAUAAGCACCGGCUAACUACGUG